GGGCGAUUAGCUCAGUGGAAGAGCGCUUCGUUCACACCGAAGAGGUCACUGGUUCGAACCCAGUAUCGCCCACCC
RNAcentral lists this transfer RNA (75 nucleotides) under Streptomyces sp. SPB074. Its description in RNAcentral is "tRNA-Val". It matches the Rfam family "tRNA". Rfam says of the family: Transfer RNA (tRNA) molecules are approximately 80 nucleotides in length. Their secondary structure includes four short double-helical elements and three loops (D, anti-codon, and T loops). RNAcentral also lists the same sequence under 4 other names. The record is from RNAcentral. Lineage: Bacteria; Bacillati; Actinomycetota; Actinomycetes; Kitasatosporales; Streptomycetaceae.